CAGCAGACCCUUGGCUACUGCUGACAGACGCACCCUCCUCCAGGGAGAUUUAUUCUGAAGACUCGCUGACCGCAGCUGCUUUCACACAGAGCCAGUGUUAUAUAAUUCAUUUAUUUUUAAGAGGAUAUAAACUUUGGUUAAUUAUUGCCUUAAGUGCUGUCCUAAAACCCAGAGAAGAUCACACAUUCUGUCAGUCUGAGCAGUAAAUGACGUCAUGGGACUUCAGGUCAAACCUGUAAUAACUCAUUUUUGGGGUGCCUCUUGGUCUAUGUAAGUAUUUUUAGUAUUAUUUUUUAUUUAAUUAUUUUUUGCUAAUUUAAAUGACCCCCUAUGUGUUCAAUUUUUGAAAAUGCAGCAUGUAGUUUUAUUGUGAUUAUUUCAGCAUGAAUGUUAUUAAAAGCAAAUCAUUUACGCUGAACCGCUCCAACUGUGAAAGGGCUUGUUAAAGCCCCUCACUCGGUUUUAAAGGGAUCCUCGUUCAGGCAAUUAUUUCAUGAGUUAGAAAACACAUUCAGUCAGCAGCUCAGGGCCUUUGGGACCUGAAGCAUGUGAUGAGGAAAUGAAGCAAUCAGCCUUAUGUUUGUGUGUGUGGGAGCCUUGGUUUAUUGAGCAGGUGUGUGUGUGUGUGUGUGUGUGUGUGUGUGUGUGUGGGAUUUGAUACAUUCAUUGUCAGGCGCCUGUCGACUCUAAACUUUAACAAAGAGGUGUAUGAUCAACAGCUGAGCGGUACAUCUGACAAAGUGUCUCAGCAAGAAGAUAUCAUCAAGACAUCAGUCAACUACAUCUGUACAGCUCAGAUACUGAGCAACACACACCUGCAGGUUUAGAGGACUCCAAUAAACCUGGAGCCCACCUGACAGUGAAAAAGAUCUUUGUCAGUGGAAUCAAGGAGGACACAGAGGAGUAUCAUAUCAGACAGCACUUUGAGCGCUGUGGGAAGAUUCAGAUUACUGACAACUGGGAGCAAGAGAGGAUUCUGCUCCGUCACCUUUGAUGAUCACGAUACUGUGGAAAAAAUUUGUUGGUGCACAAAAAUAUCACACAAUCAACCCGCAUAACUGUGAAGUAAGAAAAGCACUUCCAAAGCAGGAGAUGUUUCUAAUCAGAGAUGUAAGUAAUAUGUUUCGUAUCUACAGUAACUGCCUGUUCUGAUUCUCAAAUAUCCAUUUUGACAUUUUUAGAGGUUUACAAUGUUCCAGUGAUAUUGUAAAGUUGUUGUAGGUAAUAAAAUAUAACAUGUUGUUUUGGAUCA
Long non-coding RNA from Cyprinus carpio (common carp), 1252 nucleotides. Lineage: Eukaryota; Metazoa; Chordata; Actinopteri; Cypriniformes; Cyprinidae. The record is from Ensembl.